Molecule: ribosomal RNA, 497 nt
Filed under: uncultured bacterium
Lineage: Bacteria
Description: partial 16S ribosomal RNA
Rfam family: Bacterial small subunit ribosomal RNA
Source: RNAcentral
GAUGAACGCUGGCGGCGUGCCUAAUACAUGCAAGUCGAGCGAACAGACGAGGAGCUUGCUCCUUCGACGUUAGCGGCGGACGGGUGAGUAACACGUAGGUAACCUACCUAUAAGACUGGGAUAACUUCAGGAAACCGGAGCUAAUACCGGAUAAUAUUUCGAACCGCAUGGUUCGAUAGUGAAAGAUGGCUUUGCUAUCACUUAUAGAUGGACCUGCGCCGUAUUAGCUAGUUGGUAAGGUAACGGCUUACCAAGGCAACGAUACGUAGCCGACCUGAGAGGGUGAUCGGCCACACUGGAACUGAGACACGGUCCAGACUCCUACGGGAGGCAGCAGUAGGGAAUCUUCCGCAAUGGGCGAAAGCCUGACGGAGCAACGCCGCGUGAGUGAUGAAGGUCUUCGGAUCGUAAAACUCUGUUAUUAGGGAAGAACAAACGUGUAAGUAACUGUGCACGUCUUGACGGUACCUAAUCAGAAAGCCACGGCUAACUACGUG